CAUAAGACUCCAUUUUUCAGUUUUUUUAUAUAACGUUUGACUUUGUCUUAUUAAAAAAAUUUCUAUAAUUAGUAUUUUCAUUGUUAUUAGAUGAUAAAACAUGAAUAGUAAUCUAUGCAUGACUAAUUUUUUUAAUUUUUUCAUAUUUUUUAGAAAUAAGACGGACAGUUAAACGUUGGAUAAAAAAACCC
Molecule: microRNA precursor, 191 nt
Filed under: Oryza glumipatula
Lineage: Eukaryota; Viridiplantae; Streptophyta; Magnoliopsida; Poales; Poaceae
Description: MIR812 microRNA precursor family
Rfam family: MIR812 microRNA precursor family
Source: Rfam by way of RNAcentral